UGGGGAAUUUUGCGCAAUGGAGGAAACUCUGACGCAGCAACGCCGCGUGGACGAUGAAGGCCCUUGGGUCGUAAAGUCCUGUAAGGUGGGACGAAAUAAAUGACGGUACCACCAAAGUAAGCUCCGGCUAACUUCGUGCCAGCAGCCGCGGUAAUACGAGGGGAGCAAGCGUUGUUCGGAAUCAUUGGGCGUAAAGGGCGCGUAGGCGGUCUGGCAAGUCUAAGGUGAAAUCCCUCGGCUCAACCGAGGAACUGCCUUGGAAACUGCCGGACUUGAGUUCCGGAGAGGAAAGCAGAAUUCCCAGUGUAGCGGUGAAAUGCGUAGAUAUUGGGAGGAAUACCGGUGGCGAAGGCGGCUUUCUGGACGGAAACUGACGCUGAGGCGCGAAAGCUAGGGGAGCAAACGGG
Molecule: ribosomal RNA, 407 nt
Filed under: uncultured bacterium
Lineage: Bacteria
Description: bacterial SSU rRNA
Rfam family: Bacterial small subunit ribosomal RNA
Source: RNAcentral